AACUCCGUGCCAGCAGCCGCGGUAAUACGGAGGGUGCAAGCGUUAAUCGGAAUUACUGGGCGUAAAGCGCACGCAGGCGGUCUGUUAAGUCAGAUGUGAAAUCCCCGGGCUCAACCUGGGAACUGCAUUUGAAACUGGCAGGCUUGAGUCUCGUAGAGGGGGGUAGAAUUCCAGGUGUAGCGGUGAAAUGCGUAGAGAUCUGGAG
RNAcentral lists this ribosomal RNA (205 nucleotides) under Cronobacter malonaticus 507. RNAcentral's name for it is "Small Subunit Ribosomal RNA; ssuRNA; SSU rRNA". It matches the Rfam family "Bacterial small subunit ribosomal RNA", at positions 499 to 703 of the family's 1533-position model. Lineage: Bacteria; Pseudomonadati; Pseudomonadota; Gammaproteobacteria; Enterobacterales; Enterobacteriaceae. The record is from RNAcentral.